RNAcentral lists this ribosomal RNA (431 nucleotides) under uncultured bacterium. RNAcentral describes it as "bacterial SSU rRNA". It matches the Rfam family "Bacterial small subunit ribosomal RNA", at positions 340 to 767 of the family's 1533-position model. The record is from RNAcentral.
UACGGGAGGCAGCAGUAGGGAAUAUUGGGCAAUGGGCGAGAGCCUGACCCAGCCAUGCCGCGUGCAGGAAGAAGGCUUUCUGAGUCGUAAACUGCUUUUGACAGGGAAGAAUAAGCUGGUCGUGACCAGUGAUGACGGUACCUGCAGAAUAAGCACCGGCUAACUCCGUGCCAGCAGCCGCGGUAAUACGGAGGGUGCGAGCGUUGUCCGGAUUUAUUGGGUUUAAAGGGUGCGUAGGCGGCUCAUUAAGUCUGGGGUGAAAGCCCGCUGCUCAACAGCGGAACUGCCCCUGGAUACUGGCGAGCUUGAGUACAGACGAGGUUGGCGGAAUGGACAGAGUAGCGGUGAAAUGCAUAGAUACUGUCCAGAACCCCGAUUGCGAAGGCAGCUGACUAGGCUGUUACUGACGCUGAGGCACGAAAGCGUGGGGA